CCCUUAGAUGUUCUGGGCUGCACGCGCGCUACACUGAUGCGUUCAACGAGUUUAUGACCUUGCCCGAUAGGGUUGGGUAAUCUUUUUAAAUCGCAUCGUGAUGGGGAUAGAUUAUUGCAAUUAUUAAUCUUCAACGAGGAAUUCCUAGUAAGCGCGAGUCAUCAGCUCGUGCUGAUUACGUCCCUGCCCUUUGUACACACCGCCCGUCGCUCCUACCGAUUGAGUGUUCCGGUGAAUAAUUCGGACUGCAGCAGUGUUCAGUUCCUGAACGUUGCAGCGGAAAGUUUAGUGAACCUUAUCACUUAGAGGAAGGAGAAGUCGUAACA
RNAcentral lists this ribosomal RNA (326 nucleotides) under uncultured eukaryote. Its description in RNAcentral is "partial 18S ribosomal RNA". It matches the Rfam family "Eukaryotic small subunit ribosomal RNA", at positions 1470 to 1796 of the family's 1831-position model. The record is from RNAcentral.